This 253-nucleotide ribosomal RNA is filed under the name uncultured bacterium. RNAcentral describes it as "partial 16S ribosomal RNA". It matches the Rfam family "Bacterial small subunit ribosomal RNA", at positions 524 to 776 of the family's 1533-position model. The record is from RNAcentral.
UACAGGGGGUGCAAACGUUGCUCGGAAUCAUUGGGCGUAAAGCGCACGUAGGCGGUUCGUUAUGUCGGAUGUGAAAGCCCUUGGCUUAACCGAGGAAGUGCAUCCGAAACUGGCGAGCUAGAGUACGAAAGAGGAUCGCGGAAUUCCCGGUGUAGAGGUGAAAUUCGUAGAUAUCGGGAGGAACACCGGUGGCGAAGGCGGCGAUCUGGGUCGAUACUGACGCUGAGGUGCGAAAGCGUGGGGAGCAAGCAGG